RNAcentral lists this ribosomal RNA (445 nucleotides) under uncultured bacterium. Its description in RNAcentral is "partial 16S ribosomal RNA". It matches the Rfam family "Bacterial small subunit ribosomal RNA", at positions 354 to 796 of the family's 1533-position model. The record is from RNAcentral.
GUGAGGAAUAUUGGACAAUGGGCGCAAGCCUGAUCCAGCCAUGCCGCGUGCAGGAAGACGCAUCUAUGGUGUGUAAACUGCUUUUGUACGGGAAGAAACACUCCCUCGUGAGGGAGCUUGACGGUACCGUAAGAAUAAGGAUCGGCUAACUCCGUGCCAGCAGCCGCGGUAAUACGGAGGAUCCAAGCGUUAUCCGGAAUCAUUGGGUUUAAAGGGUCCGUAGGCGGUUUAAUAAGUCAGUGGUUAAAGCCCAUCGCUCAACGAUGGAACGGCCAUUGAUACUGUUAGACUUGAAUUACAAGGAAGUAACUAGAAUAUGUAGUGUAGCGGUGAAAUGCUUAGAUAUUACAUGGAAUACCAAUUGCGAAGGCAGGUUACUACUUGUGGAUUGACGCUGAUGGACGAAAGCGUGGGGAGCGAACAGGAUUAGAUACCCGAGUAGUCC